AAAGGAGCCACAACUCCGCGCGGCGGCCACCUCCGCCUCACCUCCCGGCCGCUGCAAUGCCAUCAUCACGGCGCCCCUGCACCAUCGCGGAGCUGCAGCGGCUCGAGGAAGAGGCAUGGGCCUCGCCAGCACAGCGGGCGCUGUACGCUACGCGGCACAUCCCUGGGUUCCCGUGGUACACAGUGCAGGAGGUGACGUUGCCUGACAAGCCUGCAACUGCCAACGCGACCGCCCUCUUCACCAGCGGCGUUCGACGCCACGUCAUCCCGUAUGACUUUUCCUUUACUGUGUUCGUCAAGGGACGGUGGGUCGGCCGGCGGUUGCUCGAAGUCUACGCGGAGGAGCUGCCGCAUCACACCCCUGCCUACUACGAAGCUUGCCUGCGGCAAGGCCGUCUGUACUGCGUGCAGCGCGGCGCUCUCCGCCAGCACAACACGCAGCGCCGGCUGCUGAAGCGGUCGGCUGCCGCGCCUGCGCCGUUGGGCACGGCCGGGAGCUUCAGCGACAGUGCCCCAGGCCUGGCUUCGUCCAUAUACACUACCCCUACCACCACCAACACCACGUCCGCUUCAGACCUCCCUCGGCGCCGCCACGCUGAUCGCCGAGUCGCAUCGCCUGCUCCUCUGCCCUCUCGAGGAGAGGAUGUAGUGCUGCAGCACGGCGAUGUCGUGUACCACACGGUGCACCGUCACGAAGUGCCAGUGACGGUGGGGAUGUGUGGCGCCGAUGCCGUGCUUAUCACGGCCGUUUGCAUUGCACAGUACGGUCUCAUCUGCGUCAACAAGCCGACCGGGCUACCGACGCACGCGACGGGGAGGUACUACUACAACUCGCUUACCUCGCUUCUUGAGUACGUACUGGCGCCGAAGCGGCUGGCGGCGUGGCUGCUCGUCGAAGACCCGCUCCUGCAGUCCCUCGUCUCCACCGAGCACCUCUCGCCAUCGGAGAAGGUGGAGCUGUACGCGUACUAUGCCCCUCCUUCAGCUCCCGUGCGACCUCCUAGAUCAGUGCGUCAGCCCUGCGAGCACCAACUCCACCGCGAGGGAGGCACAGAGCACAGCUCGGGGUCUUCGCGAUGCUACUGUGCGGCAACAAGCGAAGCAUCCGCUGCCGAAGAUGCAGAUCUAGACGAAGUCGACCCUGACAAGGUGCCUCGGCCGUGCCAUCGGCUCGACAAGGUCACCUCCGGGGUGCUGCUACUGGCCGUGCGCCAAGACGCGGCAAGGCGGAUCGGAUCGGUGCUGAUGCGCAAGGCAAAAGAAGUGGACGAGGCAGUGACGGCGGAGCUGCUGCGCCGCAGGGUCGAGCCUAACGCCUCGCGUGACCGCGGCUUUGAGACAGCGGUCACCCCAGUCGCUGAGCACACGGCGAGCCCCGAUGGGAGUGACGGCGAUGCCGGUGCGCCCGCCGUUCACGGGCCCUCAUCCACCCCUGCUUCGCCACCGGCAUCUCUGCAGCGCGUCCUCGCCAGCACGUAUGAGCUGCAGAAGUACUACCUGGCACGUGUGCGUGUUGAGUCGGCCCGAGUACAGCCGGAAAGCGGUGACACAUUCGAAGCCGAGAUGCAGCGGCAGCACACGCCCCAGCCACCACCCUUAACAUCCCCGUCUUUGCCCUUGGCACUCCCUCCGCCUCUGCGUGUUUGGCGUGUGGCCGGUGAUGAACCGUGCUUGAGAACGCACAACGCCUAUGUGUCACGCAUGCUGAGCUCCGCAAACGGUGUCGGCGAUAUUGCGUCGUUGCGGGCUCGCCAGCCGAAGAAAUGCAACUCAGCUCUGCCGGGUGCGUUCCCUGAUGGCGUGCUGACGACAGUGCCGGUUCCUGCGCCUGGGGCCCUUGCGUCUUCCCCUGCUGCCGCGGCGACGCUCUGCCAGCUCCUUUUUGCCUUGCCCACCCUCACGAGCGCCGCACACCAGGACGCUCUGUUGCAAGCUGGAACGAGCGUGGCGAGCGCCGCUGAAGAGGCUGUGGUGCUAUGCACCCCCUACACGGGCCGCCUGCACCAAAUUCGUAUGCAUCUGAGCUCACUCGGCUGCCCCAUCGUCGGCGACGUCGUUUACGCGCACACCAGCGGCAACGCGGACGUGCCAGGCACAUCUUCAACGCAAGUACAGCCGCAGCUGCCGAGGGGGAGGCUAGGGGGCACGGAGAGCGCCACCUGGGGCCCCGAAACGUCGCCCACGAAAGACACGGCAGCGCGUGACCUGGACGGCAGCGCUGAUUGCGCGGCGCGACUCUCACGCGAUGGCCGCGAUUUCGUCUUCUUCGAUGCCGCACAGCUGCCAGCCGCCUAUCAUCGCUACUGCCAAACAGUGAAAGCGGCGGCUGAAGAGGCCAACGCCGCAUCUCAUGCUCGCCAGGCUUCUCCGUCGCGUAGGGCAGAGGAGCGUGCAGCGACAGUGGACGCCGACGGCGGGCUACCGACGACGAAGGGUGUAAAACGCAGUCGCGCUGUGUGCAGCACCGGCGGCGGAAGGGAAGCCGAGGCGGCGGAGGGCAUGGCGAACCUCGAGAAGAAGGGGGCCCCACUCGCCAGCACGAGUCGUGUUGCCGCAGUUGUGGGCGCUCCAACGGCGGGGGCGGGGCAAAGCGACGCAGCCGCCACUCGGUGGCAGGAUGAGCCGCUAUGCUACGAGUGCGCCGGACGUCUGCCCAUCGUGGCCGCAGGAGAGUGCGCGACGGGCACGUCGGCCAUCUGCCUGCAUGCCUGGGUGUACCAAGUUAGGGAGGCCCUGCUCCUCGCCACCGACGACGGCGCACCGUCGACGGCGAGCUCGCCAGCAUCAACGCCAAAGGCUGCUGCGAUGCUUGCGACUGCAAGCCGGUCGCCGCCUGCACCAUGCCCUUCCUCUUCCUCGGAGGACGGGGAGAGCGGUGCGUGGGUGAACAACCGCACCGCACAGCGCUUGCCACCUCACCGCCGCUUAGUAGUGGAGGGCGACGUUGUUCGGUUUGAAGCACCGCCACCGGCGUGGCUUCGGCGGUAGUGCACGCAGCGCCACACACUGCUCGCUGCGCAAUGGUCGGAAGACGCAGCGCGGAAUGACAGACGCCACGCCACCACCACGAGCUCGCAAGGACUGCAACACAAGGCCUUCGCACCGAACUGAAAGGCACACGUCGUACACAGCGAGGGAGAGGGGAAGGGGUGCGGGGCAUCUGGCGGGUGUCGCCCCUUUCCCUCCUUUCACACCUGUCCCUGCGCCCUUCUCUCUUUUCCGCGGACUGCGCUGCGUAAGACACAGUAAAAGCACCAACUAAAGGUACACACGCGCAUACGCGCCGUGCGAGGGCACGGUCAGACGUCCUUGGGCGGUUGCCGGCAACUGCCUACGGGGGACACGGUGAGGCAAGAGGAAGGGCGGCCGCGGACCUACCUGCAAGUGAGCUGUUCGGUGAGGUACCUCGCGUGAGUUCUCCCUCUCUCUUUCUCUUUCUACUGCCUCUGUGCGGGCUUUCAUCCAUCUGCCGACCCCCUCCUCUAUGCCGUCCCCUGCACACAUUUGCACGGCCACGCCAG
This 3520-nucleotide unclassified non-coding RNA is filed under the name Leishmania donovani. RNAcentral describes it as "gene:LdHU3.26.1420(CDS-product:RNA_pseudouridylat e_synthase_putative)". Lineage: Eukaryota; Euglenozoa; Kinetoplastea; Trypanosomatida; Trypanosomatidae. The record is from RNAcentral.